GUUGCUUUCACAGCUCGCUCACGAAUAAAGCAUGCGUGUGCGACCCUUAUGAUAUUCCGCAAACUUUCAGAUAAAACUACAAGGUAAAAGUCAUCCAUACAUUGUUUUUCGAUAGCAUGCUUAUGAACUGAGAUAGUAGCAAGUGAAUGUAACUCUUUGCAAAUGGUGAAUGCCAUCCCUGGGUACAAUAGUCUAUUUAACCGUAAAAAAUGAUUGGCAAUUAAAUUCAUGAUCACAGUAUGGCAAUUAGGCGUUAAACUGGCUUGGUAGAAUUAUUGAUGCAUAUCGAUUUUCGCAGUUGUUGAUUUUUAUUAUUGACAUUUUGAAACUUAAUUAUUUACAGCAAUAAAACAUCUUGAUUGCCAAGGCACUGUUUUCUAGAAUUUGUUAAAAAUAUAUAAUGGAAAACAUACUAAGAUACAUAAUUAAGUAUGCUCUGAUUCAUAUAGAUGAAUAUAACAUCACAAGGAUGUUGCGCAGGCUCCACCUUCUGCGCUUUUUCAGUCGUAUAGCAGUCUGAAAAUCGGUUUUAUUGUUUCAAACCAAAACUUUGUAACUGGUCAUACUGGAAACGAAAUAAUUUCUAUAAGACAUGUUGUGUUACUUGGGGAGACCUGAUGACGAGAAAGAAGCGUUCUACGCGCAGUUAGAGCAAACAUACGAUGGUUACCCGCCGCGUGACGUGAAAACCGUUGUCGUAUAGCAGUCUGAAAAUCGGUUUUAUUGUUUCAAACCAAAACUUUGUAACUGGUCAUACUGGAGUCGAAAUAAUUUCGUUACAAACAUACAUAUAUUAGUGAAUAUACAAGUAGUUUGAAUAAAUAAACACAAAUAAAUAAACACAUUAUUAUAAGCAAAUAAGUUGAGGGAAAUGUUUGGCCUGAAUAUCCUAAACGCCAAACGUACAACAAGUAUAUAAGUAAUUCUGAGUGUGCUCAAGUUUUGUUGAAAUGUGCCAUUAAUAAAUAUUAGAAUUGUGUUAAGUUUUAAAUUUUAGGUGUCUGUCAAGAAAAGAUUCUAGGGGGUGUAAAAUUUAGGACUUGAAUUCUCAUCGGAGUGUAAGAACGCAGUGAGCCACUGGCUGCGCGCAUUCAAUACAAACGAAUGUGCUGCGUACGGAUACUCAUUUUCACGGAUCUUCUGCUCUUUGAGCCGUAAUGUAUCUGUUUCACUCAAAGAGUAAAGGACACAUGAUGAACGCAUACUCAAUGCGCUGCUCAUUGCGCAGUUGGUAUGAUAGAAAUCACAGAUAAACGAAAGUAACACUAACGAAAUUUUCUUCCUAUAUAUCUCAGGAUCCUGAUAACUUACAGAGUUGGUGUUUUCGGCAUAAUUAUUAGGCUGGUCAAGGACCUACUGGUAAUGGGUAGUUUGAUUCGGAAUUCUUCCAUUAGGUGGCGCUAGUGAUCGAACAUUUUUUUCAUAUAUCUCAGGACUCUGAUCACUUAGAAAGAUGAUAUCUUUGGCAUUGUUGUUUGGUAGGUCAAGGGCUUACAGUUCAUGGACAAUUUGUUUCGGAAUGUUGCCACUAGGCAACGCUAGUAACACAUUUGCAAGAUUAUGCAAAUGAUUGAUUUUUUCAUUCAGUAUUCAGCAUGCUGUAAUUUUGUUUUCUUUGAACAUAUUCAAGUCAAGUCAAAUGUUUUACAAAGACCAAUACAUAUGUUAGCCGUAAAUGUGCGAAAUUUCAUUUCAUUCGGUUCGCUAAACUCUGAGAUA
Molecule: long non-coding RNA, 1719 nt
Organism: Aedes albopictus (Asian tiger mosquito)
Lineage: Eukaryota; Metazoa; Arthropoda; Insecta; Diptera; Culicidae
Exons: 2
Source: RefSeq, a predicted model, not a curated record